This 446-nucleotide long non-coding RNA is filed under the name Cricetulus griseus (Chinese hamster). Its description in RNAcentral is "lncRNA (ENSCGRG00015041879.1)". The record is from RNAcentral. Lineage: Eukaryota; Metazoa; Chordata; Mammalia; Rodentia; Cricetidae.
UUUUUAUUUUUGAUUUAAAAGUUUAAAAUUAAAAACAAAGUUAUUUUAAUGCAAUAUACUCUCAUUAUGGUUUCAUCUCUCACAUCUCCCCCUGGAUCCUCCCACAUAAGCAAAAACCUUUCUUACCGCAUGGUAUUUAUGUGAAAUGUGAUGGAUUUCAUAAGCUAAGUAUGAUGCAGCUGCAAUGAAGACAUCCUUUGUGCAAAUAUCCCUCCGGGGAUUGUGAUUUCAUUUUGCAGGACUCAGGAAGACCUGGAAUAAAAGCAUGCUGAUGCCAGGCUGUUUGUGCCAUGAGUAUCAAGGCCAUUGAUCAUUGCCCUGUCUGGCCAGGAACUCACUAUGUAGACCAAGAUGGCUUUAACGAGAGUUAGACUGACUGGACUUCAAAGACACAGUCUACAGCAAUGAGGAUAUUCCAGAUGCUCACUUGUGAUGCUCACUUUGGC